GGCGGGCUGGAACCUCUCGGGGUUACAGCCUUGCUGAAUUAUUCACCCUUGUCUUUUGCGUACUUCUUGUUUCCUUGGUGGGUUCGCCCACCACUAGGACAAACAUAAACCUUUUGUAAUUGCAAUCAGCGUCAGUAACAAAUUAAUAAUUACAACUUUCAACAACGGAUCUCUUGGUUCUGGCAUCGAUGAAGAACGCAGCGAAAUGCGAUAAGUAGUGUGAAUUGCAGAAUUCAGUGAAUCAUCGAAUCUUUGAACGCACAUUGCGCCCUUUGGUAUUCCAAAGGGCAUGCCUGUUCGAGCGUCAUUUGUACCCUCAAGCUUUGCUUGGUGUUGGGCGUCUUGUCUCUAGCUUUGCUGGAGACUCGCCUUAAAGUAAUUGGCAGCCGGCCUACUGGUUUCGGAGCGCAGCACAAGUCGCACUCUCUAUCAGCAAAGGUCUAGCAUCCAUUAAGCCUUUUUUUCAACUUUUGACCUCGGAUCAGGUAGGGAUACCCGCUGAACUUAAGCAUAUCAAUAAGCGGAGGAAGCAC
This 533-nucleotide ribosomal RNA is filed under the name Alternaria sp. ZDH2-2-1-1. RNAcentral describes it as "eukaryotic LSU rRNA". The stretch from base 154 to 307 matches the Rfam family "5.8S ribosomal RNA". The record is from RNAcentral. Lineage: Eukaryota; Fungi; Ascomycota; Dothideomycetes; Pleosporales; Pleosporaceae.